GGACUUUAGACCAGGACUGCCUGGUGACUACAGUCUGUCUGGACGAACAGCUGGGAAAGCCAAAUAUUAAGGCCAAGACGACACGACCAGAUGAAUAACAGUUUAGACUGUGGCUGCAGAAUUGGAAUCACGUUUCUCCUCCCCCUUUGAUGAGACAAGGUCGGAACUACUAAGGCAUAGAAGUGACAGCUGACAAUGAUGAAGGAGUCCAAGGAAACAUGAAACAGAAAGUCACAGUUGUCCAGGGCCGACUCUGCCCAGGUCGUUCAGAAAUCCCCACGGGUAGCACUGGAUUGCAGCACUUCACUUGCUCAUGAGGAGCAGUGUGAGUCAUCGGUGUCAAUCCAUGAUCAAAUGCUCCUUUUUAACAAAGACUUGGGAGUGUGUGAUGAACUAAUUCAAACUAGAAAACUUCAUCAUUUAAGGGAGGCACCAGGCGUCACUCUAAAAAGUUAACUUGGUGGGAGCCUUCCUUUCCUUAUGCAACAGGCAUUGCCCUUUCACCAAAAGAUGUCUCACAAGUGCUCCAGGAUUACAUCUACAGGAAGCUGAUAGGGCGCUGAUGAAAUCCACAGUGCCCUAGUUUCACAUAUUAUAUUCAAUUUAGGAAAGAAAUUUCUAAAUGAGUUUCUCAUUCCAAUAACCUUAGUAACGAAAAUAGAAAUAAUAGCAGAUAAUAUUUAUUAUGCACUUAUUAUGCAUCAAGCAACGUGUUGAUAUCCUUACAGAGAUCAGCUGAUUUAAUCUCCCAACAACCAUAAGAAGCUGAUAUUCUUAUAAUCUCCAAAGUACUGAUGAGGAAAGGAUGCUUUUCCUUACUCCCCCAGGUCCUACUGUAGACAAGAGGCAGAGCUGAAUUUGAAUUCUGACCAGGUGACUCCAGAGACAGUGGAAAUCUGUGAUUCAGGUAGACUUCUUUGUCAUUGGAUCAGGGUCAGAGUGUUUCCAAAAAUAGCAUUCCUUUUUUAAAAAUGUUACUGUGCUCUCUUUUAAUCCUAACUCUAUUCAGGAAAUCUAUUCCUGUGGUUUUUAAAGUAAAAUUGAAAUUCUUGGUAAAAAAAUGAACAUGGCAUCAAAAAAGCUACAAGAGAGAAAAUGAGAAUUUUAAGGUAUGGUUUAUUAAACAGAAAUCAGUCAAAGGUGUGUAGUUUCAUCAACUGCAUGAAUAGUGUCAUCAAACCUAUAAAAUUCUAUAUGCCUUAUUAAAUGGCUUCAUUGAAUAAAAAAAUGCAUUAAAACAAAUGUGCUAAUUGAUGGAAUGAUGGGUCUAAAUCAGGAAAUGUAUAAUAGGAAAAACAAAGACUUCAGAUCAAAUAUAGGAAAAAGUUAAAAAUUAUAGGAAAUAAAGAUUUAUUAAUUACUUCCAAAUGAAUUAAUAUAUAUGUGUAGCUAUCCAUACACAUAGUUACCAUACUUUGUUACAUAAGAUAUUUUAAAGUAAACAGCUUAUGUUUUGAAGUUCUGCCUCCAAAGGAAAGAUUCAAGUACUAAAGAUACCAAUUUGUUUACAAAAAUAGUUAAGGCUCUGAGAAAUAGUGUAACUUCUUAAUACCCUAUAAUCCAAUUUCUUCAGCAAUUUAGCAAAUUCAUAUGCAGAGAUAUUACAAAGAUAUGUACUACCUAGUUCAAAUGGAUCAUAUUUCCCUAAGUUGUAGAGCCUGAGAAUUAAUGUGGAUUCUAAUUCAUAACAUAUUUUGACCUUUUUAUGUAAUGAACUGCCCAUGAUUGUGCUUUUGAAUGACAAAGCUAGAGGAGGAGAAGUAAGAGAAAGGAUCCAGAAUUAUCUGGGCAUUAUGUAUUUAUUUGAAUGCUAAGGAAGAAUUUCAGUGAAUGUAAUAGCAGCAAAUUGCACACUGAUGAUUCAGGCUCCCAUUUCGUUUGGUAUUUUCAGGAAAAUACAGUUACCUUAGCAACUAGCAUAUCACAUGGCACAUGCUGUAGCAUGCAGAAUGUCUCCAAGUCAAAAGCUUGCCCUUCCGGAAGAAGUCAUACCAGGAAACGGGAAAAUAAAUAAACCAACCUCUUCACAUAGUAAAUUAUGUCAUUUAUCUCCCUGACAGGUAAAAGAUAAUUUAUAUUUAAGUGAGUUUUUCUUUGCUACAGUCCUAUCAAAAUGGCAGUACAUAUGUUACAUGGAUGAAGGAAAAAAGGAAAGAAGCUACAUAGCUUAAGGGUAUAAAGUAAAUCUUCAGUUGAAUCAACUCUGAACAUUACAUUGACUGACAUAAACCUAUACAACUGAAUGAGUGUUAUAAGAUACUUUUGCAAAUUUAAAUAUUACGGUACUGUUAAACACCAAGAAGUAGAGGAGUUUUUAUCCUGGUGGUAAUAAUUCCAAAACUGACAAAAUUAUAGUGAACGAAUUUAAAAGUGGGUCUUUACAAGUCCAAAACAACUUGUUUGAAUAUGAAAUAUGCAAUUAAACUGAUUACUAUUUUUAUUGUUACAGAGACCCAAAUCUUACUAAAUCAGAGAAAAAUAAAUGCCUUUUUUAAAAAUUCUCUGUGUAUGCACUGAAGAAGAAAUAAAUAUCUACUGCUUGCCUCCCAAGUGUCCAAAUUUUUCAGCAGUAAGACAGAAAAGGAGCCUGUUUUUGCAGAAUUUACAUUCAAGUUAGGAGAAACAUACAAUAAAAAAGAAAAGAAAAGAAACAGUGUAAAUUAGGCUGUGCUAACUUUCAUGAAGAAUAUGGAACAGACCUCUUCUUCCUUUACCUCUUGCUCUCCUCAUACCCUUGUGGAUGUUUCAAUCCUAAAACUGUAAGACGGGGAGACUGAAGAGGAGGUGGACACAGGAGGGGUUACAGCCAGCCAGUGUGGAUGAGGAGAGCCCGGCAGGGCGUGAACACCUGCAGCAGCAGCAGGGCAGGAUGCGAGCAGCUGGGACUGGUCACAGGCAGGAGCUGCAUCACGUGAGCAAAUGCCCUAAGGAUAAGGGAAGUCAGAUUUCUCACUGUUGGAAAACGGAAUUACAAAUUCAAAAAUGAGAAAAUUACAAUAAACUCUGUAGAGUUGGAUUAGAAAAUGUAUGGCUUUUAAUAUACAUGCAGAUAAAUAUAGAAAUAAACAUACAGUGUAGAAAUACAUACAUUUCAUACAUAAUGAAUAUUUCUAAUACCUGAUGUAUAUAAUACAGGCAUAUUAUUUAUGUAUAUAUAACAUACAUAUUCCCUGUAUUCUUCCCUGAGAGGGUUCAAGCACAAAACUCAAUUAGCCAUGAGCACACCUGAAGCCUAGAUCUUGGAUUGCAAAUACUCUUUUUCAUUAAAUGAGAACAAGGCUCCUUGAGAAGAUGGCUGAUUCUGGGGCUGGGGCAGGGAAAGUACAAUAUGAACCCAAAUAUUGUACUGUACUAGAAUGUAAAGAAACACUGAAACAAUGUUUGGAAUAUGUCAAAAGAGAAAAUCAGUUAACUUGGAAAGACUCCCACCAGCCAAAUCUAGGACCAUUUGAGCAUCAAAAUAUUAAUAGCCAUGGACUAAAACAUAUUGAAUAAAAUAGGGAACCAUUUGUUCAUACAGAUAUAAAUAAAUUAAUUAAAACAUAAAUCUGACAAAGAAAAUGAUAUUUUAAGUUUUAAAGGACCUCCCCACAAAAUGCUUACAAAUUGUGAUAGGAAAUGAAUAACUUGAUGAAGGUGAACAUCACUUGGAAAGGAUGGGCUCAAACCCAUGUGUCACCUGGGAAGGGGCAAUGAGAGGCAAACAGGAUCGUUUUCUGUGAUAUUUUUUCCAGUGAGGCAUAACAAUCUAAUCACAAGCACAUAUCAGACAAAUGCAUAUUGGAGAACAUUCUACAAGAUCGCUCACUGGCCUGUAAUGUGGUCAUUAAAGUCAAGGAAAGACUGAGGAGGAAUUCUUUCAGAUUGAAGAGAUUAAAGAUAGCUAAAUGCAAUUUGUAAAUCCUUCUGUUCUGAAAGAUCUUAUUGGAACAAUAUAAAUAGAGCCAAAUGGUUACAUGAAAGUAGUAUUGUAUUUAUCAAAAUAAGUCAUUUAUAAAAUUUAAUUAAUUGAAUUUAAAUUUCAAAAAUGCAUUAAAAUAAAUGGCACUGUACGUUAAUUUUCUGACUUUGUUGCUUAUAAUGCAGCUAUAUUAGAGGAUGUCCAUAUUUGUAGGAAAUACCCUCUAAAAUAGUAGAGAGUGACUGGGCAUUAUAUCAGUGUCUUACUCUCAAGUGGUUCAGGGGAAAUUUUUCUUUGUAUCAUUCUUCUACCUUUUCUUUGUUGUGGUUAUUUCAAAAUAAAAGAAUAUGUAAAAAGGUAGUAAGGCAGAUGGUGACUGCACAUGAGCAAGUCCUUUAAGCUUGCACUGUCAAGAAAAUGUAUUCUCUGAAGAGGUGGCAUUUCAAUCUGAGAACUGAAAAAUAAGUCAGUCAUUCAAAGAUUUGGCUGAAGAGCCUUGCAGACAGAGGGAACAGCUGGCGCUGAGGCCCUAGGCUUGAAGGAGUUUAGUGAGUUCCAAGAAUAGCAAAAUAAAAUGUCCAGUGUAGCUACAGCCUAGUGAAUAAGGAAGAUGAUGGAAGGGCAGAGGCAGGCUCUUGGGAGAAGCUUCAUCAGGAGUGAUAAGUUUGGAACUUAAUUUGAGGUGCCAAGGAAAACCACUGAAGGACUUGAGCAAGAAUGUAAUAUAAAUGUACUCAUUUCCAUUUUCAAAACCACUCAGCAGAGGAAGGGGACAAGAGUUAAUGUAGAGAAAUAAGUGUUAUUUGCACUCAGAGUAAAAAAUGGAAAAAGGUGUCACACAUAUUGGAAGUAAAGGUGAUAGGGUUUAUCACUAUCACUACUGAAUGAGGAUGUUGAAGAAAAGAGAAAACUAAAGGGCAAAAAGAACAACUAUUCCUUAUUUAGAGGUUAUGGGCCAGACAGCCUUGAGUCACUUUACUCGCAUUCAGUCCUAUGAGACAAGUGCCAUUGCUAGCCCCACUUAAAAAUACUGAGGCAUGAAAGGUUACGUGACAAGGCUGAAGCCGCACAGACGGUAGGUCGCAGAGCUGUGGUGUGAGCCCAGAACUGCAUAUGAAAUGUGUACUAUAAAUUCUUUCUUUCUAAACUGACUUUUUGAGGUCUAAUUUAUAUAAAAUAUACCUCCUGUGAGUGUACCACUCAAUUUUUUUUAUUGAAGUACAGUUGAUAUACUCAAUGAUUUUUGACAAGUAUAUUCAGCUGUGUUUUAAUACCACCACACUCAAGAUACAAAAUAUUUCCACUGCCUAAGAGUUUCUGCUGUAACCUUUUAAUCACCCCAUCACCAUGCCUGACCCUCCCAGCUCCAGGCAAAAACUAAUCUGUUCUCUGUCACUCUCAUUUAGUUUUGCUUGCUCUAGGAUUUUAUUUCAAGGGAAUCAUAUAAUAUGUACUCUUUGUGUCUAGCUUUUUCACUUAGCUUAAAUGCUUUUAAGUUUUCAUCAUAUUUUACAUAGACUGAGAAUUUAUUCUUUUUAUUGUAGUAUACUGUUCCAUUAUACAAACAGAACACAAUUUGCAAUCCAUUCACUAGCUGAUGGACAUUUAGGCUUUUUCCAGUAUUUGGCUUUUUUGAGUAAAGCUUGCAGGAACAUUUGUGUACAUGUCUUUUUAUAAAAAUUUUUUCAUUUCUUUUCAAAUGGAUAACAGGAAUGGAAUUCCUAGGUCAUAUGUCCAUUUUAUAAGUAACUGAUGAACAGUUUUUCAAAGUGGUUGUAUCACUUGAUAGUCCCAUCAGGAACAAAUGAGAAUUCCACUUGAUUACUGUUGCUCUGUCAACAUUUGGUACUGUCAGCAUUUUAACUUUUAACCAUUUUAGUGUGUUUGUAAUUUGUAUUUUGUGAUUAUAGUAAUGUUGAACACCUUUUCCAUGUCUUUAUUGGCCAUUCAUAGAUCAUCUUUUCUAAGUGUUUUAUACUUCCAUAUACUCAGCACCUGGUUUUCCCCAUUUAAAAUCACUUUCUUUUAUCUUCUUAUUACAAGUCCUUUGUCAUAUGUAUGUACAAAUACAUGUGUGUAUGUGUAUAUAUGUAUACACAUAUGUAUAGUGAAUGUUCUCUCCCCAUCUGUGUCUUGACCUUUCAUUUUCUUAAUGAUGUCUUUUGAAGAUAAAAAGUUUUCGAUUUUGGUGAAGUUUAAUAAAUAUUGUUUUCUCUUAUAAGUAGUGCUUUUUUGUCCUAAAACCCUUACUACAAGGUUGCAAACAUGUUCUCCUGUUUUCUUUUCAUUAGUUAGCUUUUAUUUAGAUCCAUGAUCUAUUUCUAGUUAAUUUUCUGUAUGGUGUGAAGUAAUGAUUGAAAGUAUUUUUUCUGGUAAUUCAUAACAAGUUGUUCCAACACCAUUUUUAAAAAGACCAUCUUUUCCCUGUUAUACUGGUACCUUGGUAAAAAAUUAAUUGGUCAUGUAUGUGUGGGUCUCUUUGUAGAUUCUGCAUUCUGUUCCCUAGAUUACUGUGUCUAUUCCUAUGCCAGUUGUAUACUGUCUUAUUUAUUGUAGUUGUAUAAUAAAUCAUGAAAUCAAGUAG
Manis javanica (Malayan pangolin) is the source of this 6485-nucleotide long non-coding RNA. RefSeq lists it as uncharacterized. Lineage: Eukaryota; Metazoa; Chordata; Mammalia; Pholidota; Manidae. The record is from RefSeq and is a predicted model, not a curated record.